Long non-coding RNA from Gordionus sp. m RMFG-2023, 349 nucleotides. RefSeq lists it as uncharacterized. The transcript has 4 exons. The record is from RefSeq and is a predicted model, not a curated record. NCBI's taxonomy places the organism in Eukaryota, Metazoa, Nematomorpha, Gordioida, Chordodea, Parachordodidae.
UAACAACAUACAACACAAAAACAAGUUAAUAUUUUGAAGUUUUUUAUCUCACAUUAUAAUAUGCUUUAAAUGUUGUACUUACAUGUAUUGAUCGCAUGUGUAAUUAUCCUUCAGUUUUCUGUCACAAAUUACACCAAAGGUGAAGAAAUAGAGACAAUAAGCACAACAUACUUAGAAACCCCAAACAAUGUUGUCAUUGGACCAACCACUACGCCCAGAAUCACAUCAAUAUGCAAUAGUAGGUGUCACCGCUUCAAAGGAAUAUAAACUAUCCUAUUCUUUUUUAAAAAAAUCUAUUUUCCAUAAUUUUUAUUACAUCCAUUUCAUAAGUCUAUUAGGUUUAUCAAAU